This 71-nucleotide transfer RNA is filed under the name Camelus bactrianus (Bactrian camel). It matches the Rfam family "tRNA". Rfam says of the family: Transfer RNA (tRNA) molecules are approximately 80 nucleotides in length. Their secondary structure includes four short double-helical elements and three loops (D, anti-codon, and T loops). Further hydrogen bonds mediate the characteristic L-shaped molecular structure. tRNAs have two regions of fundamental functional importance: the anti-codon, which is responsible for specific mRNA codon recognition, and the 3' end, to which the tRNAs corresponding amino acid is attached (by aminoacyl-tRNA synthetases). tRNAs cope with the degeneracy of the genetic code in two manners: having more than one tRNA (with a specific anti-codon) for a particular amino acid; and 'wobble' base-pairing, i.e. permitting non-standard base-pairing at the 3rd anti-codon position. The record is from Rfam by way of RNAcentral. Lineage: Eukaryota; Metazoa; Chordata; Mammalia; Artiodactyla; Camelidae. RNAcentral also lists the same sequence under 2 other names.
GGGGAUACCUCAGUGGGUAGAGCGCGUGCUUAGCAUGCACGAGGUCCUGGGUUCAAUCCCCAGGACCUCCA